Molecule: long non-coding RNA, 1388 nt
Filed under: Sus scrofa (pig)
Lineage: Eukaryota; Metazoa; Chordata; Mammalia; Artiodactyla; Suidae
Description: lncRNA (ENSSSCG00005010441.1)
Source: RNAcentral
CAGAUGCAGCUCAGAUCCCACAUUGCUGUGGCCGUGGCGUAGGCCAGCAGCUACAGCUCCGAUUUGACCCCUAGCCUAGGAAUCUCCAUAUACUGCGGGCAUGGCCCUAAAAAGCAACAACAAAAAAAAAAAAAAAAGAAAGAAAGAAAAAGGAAAAGAAAAACACUGACUGCCAGAAUUACAGACCCAAAGCAGAGAUAAGCUAUAUCACUGUCAGGGAGGUUUUAAUUCUCAUGUGGAGGAAAAGGAAGGGGCACAUUGAUUUCCUGAGAUCCAAAGAAAUUCUAUCCUAUUCUAUUUCAUUCUAUCCUAUCCAUUCAUUCAUUCAACAAAUAUCCAUUGAGUAUAUAAGUAGCAUCAAACAAUGUGAUAUAUGCCGAGGAUAUGGAAACAAAAUAUAUUUGGUCCCUUUUCUCCAAGAAUGCAGAGUUUAGUAUGGGAGACAGAAAUUACUCCUUUCUAGGCAAAAAGAAUCAAGCAAAAACAAGCAGCUUUAGAGGAUUUUGCUUUUAAAAGAAAAAUUGCCAACAUUCAGAGUGUUUGGGCCACCAAUUCACACUGCAAUCAAUCUUCUAAACUCUAAUUCAUCUCCAUCUGCAGGCUUGAGCGGUGGGAAUUUCUGUUCUUAAGAUAUGGGAUCAGAAAAGAAGAUCCAGUUCUGCUCAUUAGACAUCAGAUGAGAAAGUAGGUGCAUAUUUUGUUUUGUGUUUGCAUUGUCAUGUUCAGUGGAUGCUUUUUCAGAUAUGUUAAUUUUAUAUCAAAGGAAUUCCAUGCGCAGAGAUUUUUUUUUUUUUUUUGUCUUUUUAGGACCACACCUGCAGCAUAUGAAAGUUCCCAGCCUAGGAGUUCAAAUCAGAGCUGUUGUUGCUGGCCUACACCACAGCCACAGCAUUGCCAUAUCCUUAACCCACUGAUCGAGGCCAGGGAUCGAACCUGUGUGCUCAAGGAUACAAGUUGGGUUUGUUACCACUGAGCCACAAUGGGAACUCCCAAGGCCAGGAUUUUUAAAGGUUAGCUCUGUAUUUCGAAACAUGCACAGAUUGUGAUUUCUUGACUAAUUUCCCUCAGACAUUAUUUAUUAAUUUCUUUCUUGCAGAAGAUAAGCACUUAGCUCUCUUCUGUGGGGAUGAGUUAUUUUCUUAAUCCUGCACCAAAAUGAGCAUUCUCUGAUUCUCAGAGCCUGUAGUGCUUCUCAGAAUCCCAUACAGGCUGUUCUUACCCUGCUGCUUGUCCAGGCUAGAGAGCGAGUGAGCUUUGAUGGGGGCGAUGUUGCUGGUCUCAAAUACACAGGCAGCCUCCCCACAGGCACUGGCUGUUGCUAUUUCCCAGUUGGAAUUGCUCAGAGAGGUCUAGGCCUCCUGGAAAGUAGGCCAGCAUUGCAAAUAUUU